Non-coding RNA from Plasmodium vivax (malaria parasite P. vivax), 73 nucleotides. Lineage: Eukaryota; Apicomplexa; Aconoidasida; Haemosporida; Plasmodiidae. The record is from the annotation of a RefSeq genome assembly.
CGACAUCACGAGGAUUUUCAACUCGUCGUUUAUUUUUUUAAGCCAUUUUGAAAAACUAAAGGAGGAAAAAAAA